UCUUGGUCGAUUUUAUACAUUAUAUUUGAAGUAACAGUGACUGGUCAUUUCAUUUUGUAUUGGGGUUUGGUUUUUUUCUCGAUUCAUUCCAAUUUUCUUUCCUUUCGCACUUUACAGGUAUCCCUCUCUUCAUCCCUUUUAGUUUUUAUCAUUUAGUGAAAUCAACUUCACAAAUAUAUCAUAUAAUAUAUUCAUAUAACA
Molecule: long non-coding RNA, 201 nt
Filed under: Mytilus galloprovincialis (Mediterranean mussel)
Lineage: Eukaryota; Metazoa; Mollusca; Bivalvia; Mytilida; Mytilidae
Source: RNAcentral